Molecule: unclassified non-coding RNA, 228 nt
Filed under: uncultured Russula
Lineage: Eukaryota; Fungi; Basidiomycota; Agaricomycetes; Russulales; Russulaceae
Description: sequence contains ITS2
Source: RNAcentral
AAUUCUCAAACCUUCUUGGUUUCUUGACCAAGAUGGCUUUGGACUUUGGAGGUGUUUUGCCGGCUUUGCAGAAAGUCGGCUCCUCUUAAAUGCAUUAGUGGGGUCCUCUUUGCCAAUCCCCGGGCGUGAUAAGAUGUUUCUACGUCUUGGGAUUUGCUCUGUUUGUUGGGAACCCGCUUCUAACCGUCUCGUGAGAGACAGCGUUCGAGUUCUGCUCGGCACACGAAA